Non-coding RNA from Russula brevipes, 79 nucleotides. Lineage: Eukaryota; Fungi; Basidiomycota; Agaricomycetes; Russulales; Russulaceae. The record is from the annotation of a GenBank genome assembly.
GGCUAGGUAGCUCAAUAGGUAGAGCACCUGGUAUAUAUUCAGGAAUCAGGAGGCCUGGGUUCAGCCCCCAGUCUGGCCA